RNAcentral lists this long non-coding RNA (1229 nucleotides) under Monodelphis domestica (gray short-tailed opossum). RNAcentral describes it as "lncRNA (ENSMODG00000039674.1)". Lineage: Eukaryota; Metazoa; Chordata; Mammalia; Didelphimorphia; Didelphidae. The record is from RNAcentral.
GAAGACUGUUGCCAGCAAACAGAUGUUUGCAUUUCACAAUCUCCCAGGAUCUCAGGCCCUCUUCCUGGAUAUAUAUCCUUCCUGGAUGGUCUAUAUCCUGGAUAAGAGAGAAAGAAACAAACCUAAAAAAACCCCAAUACAACAGCAGAAGCUGCUUGGUCCCAGAAGGCCAUCCAGGAGAGCCUUUAAAGAUCACCUUGUCUAUUCCCCCUUUACUUUACAGCUCUGAGAUUCUGUGAUUCUGCAAAGUCUGAUGAUUAAUACUAGCUAAGUUCAAGUUUCCAGUCUCAGAAGAGGUGGCCUACAUAUGUGAAACAAUUUGAGGAUUAUAAAAAGAGCUACAAUUGUGCCAUAUCCAGAUUCUAAACUUUGAAAGUAUUCCAAAAUAUGCCUACACAGUAUAAAUGGAAGAAAUAAUCACAAAACAAUCGAAUGUGAAUGUUGGAAAAUUACAAAGAACAAGCAUGGCCUUAGAAAAGAGAUAUGAGAAGACACUCCCCUCUAAUCCUUUGCGCAUAUGGAAGACCCACGAGUGAGCAAUACAACAUGUAUUUUAAGAUUGUUUUGCAUUUAUUAAUCAGUUUUAUGAUUUGUUUUUGCUCUUCCUUUCUAUUUGAGAAUAUUUUUUGUCAUAUAUGAUGGCUUGGGAGGAGAAUGAAAGAGGAAAAAGGAGGAGAUUUAAGUGAUAUAAAACCAAGACAUCAAUAAUUUUUUAAAGCAUUCCAGAAAGGUUAAUUUGGAGUUGAGGAAGGCCUGCUAGAGAAGAUGGGACAUAAAUUGGGCCUUGAAUAGAUUUGGAUGGGCAGUAGAGACUGCCUUCUACAAAUGAUAGGGAAUGAUGUUGAAAGAGGGGUGACUGGAAAGAUAUAGAAGUCUGACUCUUCUGGGCCUCAUCUCCCCUUCAAACAAAGAAAAAGAAGGAAAAGGCCUGGUUUGGCAAUCAGAGAGCUGAUUUACCUCCAGCUAAAAAUAGUCUUCAACCAGCAGGUGAGUGACUCACCAAGCUCAGUGAAAACCUCCUGAAUUGGGGAAAUAUGGUGUCCCUGCUGAACCUAAUUUCCCUUAGGUGCCUCAAUAGCAGGAAGAGCUGGCUGAAAGAAAAUGACAACACAUUUCCUAUCUCUUCCUGCUGCUUCUUCACUUUCUCCCUCGGCUAUCUCCAUUCUCCUAUUUGUUGUCAUUAAAUAAUUAGUCUAAGUCAAGUCUGAUCUGAGCUAUUACACUAUUAC